GUGCUUGCUUGGCACAUAUACUAAAAUUAGAGUGAUGCAGAGAAGACUAGCAUGUCCCUUGUGCAAGGGUGACAGGCAGAUUCGUGAAGCAUUACAUGUUUUU
Molecule: small nuclear RNA, 103 nt
Organism: Jaculus jaculus (lesser Egyptian jerboa)
Lineage: Eukaryota; Metazoa; Chordata; Mammalia; Rodentia; Dipodidae
Source: RefSeq, a predicted model, not a curated record